Molecule: ribosomal RNA, 253 nt
Filed under: uncultured bacterium
Lineage: Bacteria
Description: partial 16S ribosomal RNA
Rfam family: Bacterial small subunit ribosomal RNA
Source: RNAcentral
UACGAAGGGGGCUAGCGUUGCUCGGAAUCACUGGGCGUAAAGGGUGCGUAGGCGGGUCUUUAAGUCAGGGGUGAAAUCCUGGAGCUCAACUCCAGAACUGCCUUUGAUACUGAGGAGCUUGGGUCCGGGAGAGGUGAGUGGAACUGCGAGUGUAGAGGUGAAAUUCGUAGAUAUUCGCAAGAACACCAGUGGCGAAGGCGGCUCACUGGCCCGGUACUGACGCUGAGGCACGAAAGCGUGGGGAGCAAACAGG